Molecule: long non-coding RNA, 561 nt
Organism: Rhea pennata
Lineage: Eukaryota; Metazoa; Chordata; Aves; Rheiformes; Rheidae
Exons: 3
Source: RefSeq, a predicted model, not a curated record
UACCCACAGAUCUUCCAGAACAAAAAUCGGCGUGCACUUUGGAGGCAGCGAGAUCCACGUCUCUUAUUAAUAAGAGUGCCUGAUAUGCAGUGGGGAAGGCUGUUGGUUGCUGAGGGCAAAAAUAUCCAAGCGAAGCCGGUGUGCAGGCUGUUUCGGGGAACCACCAGGAGACCAGAGAUGGCAGCAGAUCCUUGUCAGCAGCAGCAGCAGCACCAGCGGUGCCAGGUAGACCAGGCGAGACUACGGAGUGACAUGGACCGGCUCUCAGAUAUGAUGACACAGUACUGAUGAAUGGAGGAUUCAGCACAGCUGGUGUUCUUCUGUGUCAAGCCAGAACAGCAUGUGGGCCCUACCAGUCCAAAGAAUUGAUGUCAGCAGAGUUCUGGGAAUAGCAUUUAGUGUUCUCAUCUGCUUCAGAGCCAGUGGAGAACAAAAAGGACCUUUGAGUCUUUGUAGAGUUUACAAUACACACCAGUGGCCAUAAACAUCAUUUAUUUACUUCUAAAGUUACUUGUCACACUGGUCUUUCUGGAAAAUAAAAAUAUACGUUUAUUUAAAACA